GACGAACGCUGGCGGCGUGCCUAAUACAUGCAAGUCGAGCGGACAGAAGGGAGCUUGCUCCCGGAAGUCAGCGGCGGACGGGUGAGUAACACGUGGGCAACCUGCCCUGCAGAUUGGGAUAACUCCGGGAAACCGGGGCUAAUACCGAAUAACAUUGGAAACCUCAUGGUUUCCUUUUAAAAGGCAGCUUCGGCUGUCCCUGCAGGACGGGCACGCGGCGCAUUAGCUAGUUGGUGAGGUAACGGCUCACCAAGGCGACGAUGCGUAGCCGACCUGAGAGGGUGAUCGGCCACACUGGGACUGAGACACGGCCCAGACUCCUACGGGAGGCAGCAGUAGGGAAUCUUCCGCAAUGGACGAAAGUCUGACGGAGCAACGCCGCGUGAGUGAAGAAGGUUUUCGGAUCGUAAAACUCUGUUGUCAGGGAAGAACAAGUACGGUAGUAACUGCCCGUACCUUGACGGUACCUGGCCAGAAAGCCACGGCUAACUACGUGCCAGCAGCCGCGGUAA
RNAcentral lists this ribosomal RNA (512 nucleotides) under uncultured bacterium. RNAcentral describes it as "partial 16S ribosomal RNA". It matches the Rfam family "Bacterial small subunit ribosomal RNA", at positions 28 to 523 of the family's 1533-position model. The record is from RNAcentral.